RNAcentral lists this ribosomal RNA (378 nucleotides) under uncultured bacterium. RNAcentral's name for it is "bacterial SSU rRNA". It matches the Rfam family "Bacterial small subunit ribosomal RNA", at positions 28 to 404 of the family's 1533-position model. The record is from RNAcentral.
GACGAACGCUGGCGGCGUGCUUAACACAUGCAAGUCGAGCGGUAAGGCCCUUUCGGGGGUACGACGAGCGGCGAACGGGUGAGUAACACGUGGGUGACCUGCCCUUACGCUCUGGGAUAAGCCUGGGAAACUGGGUCGUAAUACCGGAUAUGACUCCAUGACGCAUGUUGUGGGGUGGAAAGCCUUGUGCGGCUAGGGAUGGGCCCGCGGCCUAUCAGCUUGUUGGUGGGGUGAUGGCCUACCAAGGCGACGACGGGUAGCCGGCCUGAGAGGGCGACCGGCCACACUGGGACUGAGACACGGCCCAGACUCCUACGGGAGGCAGCAGUGGGGAAUCUUGCGCAAUGGGCGAAAGCCUGACGCAGCGACGCCGCGUGA